RNAcentral lists this ribosomal RNA (1687 nucleotides) under Salmonella enterica subsp. enterica serovar Heidelberg str. N189. RNAcentral describes it as "bacterial LSU rRNA". It matches the Rfam family "Bacterial large subunit ribosomal RNA", at positions 1261 to 2925 of the family's 2925-position model. The record is from RNAcentral. Lineage: Bacteria; Pseudomonadati; Pseudomonadota; Gammaproteobacteria; Enterobacterales; Enterobacteriaceae.
UCGUGAGGUUGCUGGAGGUAUCAGAAGUGCGAAUGCUGACAUAAGUAACGAUAAAGCGGGUGAAAAGCCCGCUCGCCGGAAGACCAAGGGUUCCUGUCCAACGUUAAUCGGGGCAGGGUGAGUCGACCCCUAAGGCGAGGCCGAAAGGCGUAGUCGAUGGGAAACGGGUUAAUAUUCCCGUACUUGGUGUUACUGCGAAGGGGGGACGGAGAAGGCUAUGUUGGCCGGGCGACGGUUGUCCCGGUUUAAGCGUGUAGGUGUGUGUUCCAGGUAAAUCCGGUUCACUUUAACACUGAGGCGUGACGACGAGGCACUACGGUGCUGAAGCAACAAAUGCCCUGCUUCCAGGAAAAGCCUCUAAGCAUCAGGUAACAUCAAAUCGUACCCCAAACCGACACAGGUGGUCAGGUAGAGAAUACCAAGGCGCUUGAGAGAACUCGGGUGAAGGAACUAGGCAAAAUGGUGCCGUAACUUCGGGAGAAGGCACGCUGACACGUAGGUGAAGUGAUUUACUCAUGGAGCUGAAGUCAGUCGAAGAUACCAGCUGGCUGCAACUGUUUAUUAAAAACACAGCACUGUGCAAACACGAAAGUGGACGUAUACGGUGUGACGCCUGCCCGGUGCCGGAAGGUUAAUUGAUGGGGUCAGCGCAAGCGAAGCUCCUGAUCGAAGCCCCGGUAAACGGCGGCCGUAACUAUAACGGUCCUAAGGUAGCGAAAUUCCUUGUCGGGUAAGUUCCGACCUGCACGAAUGGCGUAAUGAUGGCCAGGCUGUCUCCACCCGAGACUCAGUGAAAUUGAACUCGCUGUGAAGAUGCAGUGUACCCGCGGCAAGACGGAAAGACCCCGUGAACCUUUACUAUAGCUUGACACUGAACAUUGAGCCUUGAUGUGUAGGAUAGGUGGGAGGCUUUGAAGUGUGGACGCCAGUCUGCAUGGAGCCGACCUUGAAAUACCACCCUUUAAUGUUUGAUGUUCUAACGUGGACCCGUUACCCGGGUUGCGGACAGUGUCUGGUGGGUAGUUUGACUGGGGCGGUCUCCUCCUAAAGAGUAACGGAGGAGCACGAAGGUUGGCUAAUCCUGGUCGGACAUCAGGAGGUUAGUGCAAUGGCAUAAGCCAGCUUGACUGCGAGCGUGACGGCGCGAGCAGGUGCGAAAGCAGGUCAUAGUGAUCCGGUGGUUCUGAAUGGAAGGGCCAUCGCUCAACGGAUAAAAGGUACUCCGGGGAUAACAGGCUGAUACCGCCCAAGAGUUCAUAUCGACGGCGGUGUUUGGCACCUCGAUGUCGGCUCAUCACAUCCUGGGGCUGAAGUAGGUCCCAAGGGUAUGGCUGUUCGCCAUUUAAAGUGGUACGCGAGCUGGGUUUAGAACGUCGUGAGACAGUUCGGUCCCUAUCUGCCGUGGGCGCUGGAGAACUGAGGGGGGCUGCUCCUAGUACGAGAGGACCGGAGUGGACGCAUCACUGGUGUUCGGGUUGUCAUGCCAAUGGCACUGCCCGGUAGCUAAAUGCGGAAGAGAUAAGUGCUGAAAGCAUCUAAGCACGAAACUUGCCCCGAGAUGAGUUCUCCCUGAGACUUAGAGUCUCCUGAAGGAACGUUGAAGACGACGACGUUGAUAGGCCGGGUGUGUAAGCGCAGCGAUGCGUUGAGCUAACCGGUACUAAUGAACCGUGAGGCUUAACCUUAC